CUUGAAUGUGUUUUAUGUUAACAUAGUUCAUUUUGACUCACUCAUAACCUGCGCCAAAAGCUCGUCUUAUUCAAGGGAUCUGAAAGGGAUAUCUUAAAGUUGGUGCCAUUUGAAACCUUGUCGAAGUAAAAAGUGUGCAUUUUCCUGCUGGAUGGUUACGAAAUUCAAAUGGAACAUAAGAUAGUGUUUGUCUUCCUGGCUUGUUAUACAUCCUCGGGAUGUGCGGUAACGAUGGAGCUUUCUUCUAAAGUAAUCCUGGGUGGAGAUGUUCGACUGACAUGUUAUGCCAACGACACAAUUCAAUUUUAUUUUACUGAUAGUAACACUAUUACAACUGAACUCGGUGAGUGUACAUUUGACCCAAAUGAGUGCUACAAAGCACACGGACUAACGACAGUGAAUAUUAAAAUUACUCAUAUAUUCAAUGGUGGGGAGUUGACAAUUUUAAAGAUAACCAGGGCAAACUUUGGCGUUUACAUGUGCGCGGAUUUUUUUAAUCCUUCAUUGCAACAAAGCGUCCCAAUUACUGGCGAAACCAGCAAUGACAACGUGUUUUCCUCAUGUAAAUCCGCAUGUAAAUCAGCGAUAUUAAUAUACUGUUUGCUGUUUACGUUUGUGAGAUUAACAGGGUGAAAAUUAGUGCAAAUCGUGAACGACGGCGUCUAUACAUGUUUCGACUUUCGAUUGCAAAUAUAUUUUUGUUGUGGUUUUUAUCGCUUGUGGUUUUGCUUUGUAUUCUUGAUGUUAUCUUACAAGGGUUAACCUAUUUAUGCCUAGCGCCUAGAAAAAAGGCCUUGGCACACAGCGUAGACCCAGAUGAGACGCCGCAUGAUGCGGCGUCUCAUCAGGGUCUGCGCUGUAUGCUUAAGGCGAUUUCUGUAAGAAAUAUUCUAAAUAUAGAAAUGAAUUUACUAGACAUACCUAAUUUUGGAAAUAAAUUGAUCCAAUUUAGAAGGAUGGGACAGUCCACUAGGCAUUAAUGGGUUAAGAAUAAAACCUGAGCUACAUUUACCACCAAUCAAUGUCUGUACUGUGUAACGUGUAUAUUUAUUGUGUGAUAUAGGGUAGAUGUUACAUGCAUUCUAUAAAAUUUCGUUCGUGCUAGCCAGAGAACGAUCUCUUUAUCACAGUUGGUAUUAAUCGUCCACAUGUAAAAUACAUGAAUUAUUCAACAUCAUGAUUUAACGCAUUAUGUACGCCAGCUAACACGUUCUUCCAUCUAUCCAAAAAUGCAAACUCUUACAGUCUCCGGUCCAUUCAUGAAAUGCAUGAGUAAGUAUUAACUCAUCUACUCUACAUUUGUUAAGGUAGGAACAACAAUCGGUCCUUAUAUUAAAGGUAACCGAGUCAAUAUGCGAUGCGUCUAUUUAGAUACCAAUUGUGUGAAAUGUAAAAACCUUGUCUUAAUACUUACAAAAUGCAUUCCUGUUUGAAAAUAGCAAAUGUGUGUCCGAUUUUCAAAAAAGGUGAUACAGCCUAAACGUCUUAUAAGCGACCUAUAUUAUUGUUAAAUACUAUUGAGAAAGUCUAACAUAUCAUAAUCAAUAAGAACAAUUUUAUUUGUAUUUAAUACUUUUCGUGCAAAGUAAUUCUUUUCUACAACUCAGUCUGACUUAUUGCUUGGUGAUUUUGUUGUAAAUCAACAAGAAAACACUUAUUAUACGUAUUGUAAUGCCGGUCCGUCUGGUGGCCGUCAGACGGUGACAACAUCACAAAUUAUCCUACUGAGUAAAGUAAAAUAAAAGACUGCAUAACUUAUCGUUUUAUUUACAUAAAAAUCAUUUCUC
Dreissena polymorpha is the source of this 1787-nucleotide long non-coding RNA. RefSeq lists it as uncharacterized. The record is from RefSeq and is a predicted model, not a curated record. Lineage: Eukaryota; Metazoa; Mollusca; Bivalvia; Myida; Dreissenidae. The transcript is spliced from 4 exons.